UUAAAUUGCGUAGUUGGAUGCGCGCGAGUGGGCGCGCUCCCGGGCGCGCUCGCUGGAUCGCGGCUCCUUAGUUCCCGCCAUCUACCGCCUUUUUCGCUUAAGGUGCUACUGGGUUUCCGCCUGGCUGCUCUUCGGGUGACUCCGUCCUCGCUGGGCUGCCCGGAGCUGCGGCCCGUGUGAACUUCCGCCCCCAACCCCUGCGCGGGCUGAGCCGGGCCGGAACAUGGCCGCGUGGGGGCUGGAUCAUCUCAAAAAUGACUAUAGAAGAAGAUUUUGCCGACCUUCCAGGGCACCUGACAUUAAUACAGAGCAAGGCCAGAAUAUACUGGAAAUCUUACUAGACUGUUUUGAAGAAAAAAGUCUUGCCAGUGAUUUUAGCACAAAUUCCACAAAAUCAGUGCUUUAUUCAACACCUAAAAUAAAAGACAUUUGUGUUCAGUCACCAAGUAAAGAGACUCAGUGCCAGAAAUCACAUCCAAAGUCAGGUACAGUUUCUUCAAGGAAGAAAGAAGCCCCUCUGCAGUUAAUUGUGGAACCAAGUGAAGCUGUCAACAAAUCAGUUCAGGCCCAUGAGGUUCAUCAGGAAAUUUUGGCAACUGAUGUUCAUUCUAACAAUACAUCUGACUUGAGAAAAAUGUCAAGUAAAAAACUAAAAGAUCAUCACAAUGAAGCUGAUGAGGAAUUUUACUUAUCUAUUGGCUUACCUUCUGAUCAUCUGGAUGCAAAAGCAUCUUCAUUGCAAAAGACUAUUCCAUCUGUUGCCCAAAAGAGAGAGACCUAUACUUCUGAAAAUUCAGUAAAUAUGCUGCCUUCAAGUACAGAGAUUUCUCAUAAAACCAAAAAAAGGUUAAACUUUGAAGAUAAAGAUGAUUUGAAGAAAGUAGAAGUAACGAAUAAAGUAUCAGAAAUAGAGGAUAAAGUUUCAGAAGGACCACAAGAGAGGAAACAGUUAGGAACAUCUCAAAAAAGAAUACAAGAUUCAGAAUGUGAAGAUCAACCACAAGCUAGAAAGAGUUUUUCAACAUUGUUUUUAGAAACUGUAAAAAGAAAAGGUGAAUCCAGUUCUGUUGUUAGGCAUAUAGCAACUGCUCCACCUCAUUUAUCUCCUGCAAAUAAUAUGAAGUUAUUAGAAGAUGAAUUUAUAAUUGAUGAAUCAGAUAAAAGUUUUGCCAAUCAACCAUGGAUUAAUAUACCGAGGAAGACUGGGCCUCUGAAACAAUGCACAGUAUCUCCUGCUGAGAGCACUGUACUCCUUCAAAGGAAGAAGUCAAGAGAAAAACAUGACAGUGUAUCAUCUACAAGUUUGAAAAGUGGCAAACAUCCUGGUAAAGCUCACCCAGUAGAGAAAUCUCAGUCCUCUGAACAAAAAAUACUGGGUGGGAGUUGUGCUUUGACAGAUGAAAUGGAAAAUAAUUGUAAAUCUUCAAAAUAUGAAAUGUAUUCUGAGAAUGCAAAAAAAUCAUCUGGAAACAAAAGGACUAUAAAACAAAAACGGGGAACAAAAUUUAAGGCCAGUGUAGUUGAAGAACAAGUUGACAUGGAACAAUCUAAAGGUAAAAAUAUAAAUAUAUCACAUAUUGCCCAAGACAGGUUCCAAAGAAAUUCAGACCGAAAUAUGGACGAGGGUGAAGAGAUAAGUGUUCACACUUCCAGAAAACAGUUGCUACCUCUGGGAAGCAAGAAAGGUAGCACCAAUGUUCCUCAUGCAGAGAAUCAGAAAAAAGAUAAGGAACACAAAAAGAAGCGUUUUUCAGAUGGGUCCAAGAAGAACAAAAUUGUACCUGAAGAAUUGACUUCAACUGUCACAAGAAGUCGAAGAAUUUCCAGACAUCCAUCUAAUUGGUGGGUGGUAAAAUCAGAGCAGAGUCCUUUUUCUAGCAAUUCUUCAGUAAGAAGUGAAUUGUCAUUGUAUCAUAACAGUAAACAAAAACCUGCUGAAAAAACAAACCAAUCAUCUAAGAACACUGGGAAAAAAACUAUUCCAUUUAAAAGGCAGAAGAGAACUGAUGAAGGCAGCUCAAGAACACAGAAGGUUUUAAAUGCUAAAGAUUCCCGUUGUUCCCAGAAUGAGUCAUUGGAAAGUGGUGAGGCAGACCCAGCUGAGAAGAAAAACCUUAAUCCUUCUAGAGGUACAGGAAGCUCAAAGAAUCAAGAUAGUAUGGCUGCACAAAAUGUUCAUCAAAAGUCUCAGAUCAGUGGAUAUACACGCAAGACACGAGCAGAGUCAAACUUGGAUUCUAGAGAGCCUGGGACUUCAGUUUUGGAAGGAAGUGGACCUUCUAGGCUCAAGAAUUAUUUAACGUCUGGAAUGAAUAAUUCAGAUGUGGAUGAUAAUGAAGUUCAGGAAAGUUUGAAUGAUUCAAGAGUAAAAAGGUCUAACUCAACACCAGAGAACAAGGUGCAUCACAAAUUAGUAUUGCCCUCCAACACACCAAAUGUUCGCAGGACCAUGAGAACACGAUCAAAACCUUUGGAAUAUUGGAGAGGGGAGCGAAUAGAUUAUCAAGGAAGGCCAUCUGGAGGAUUUGUGAUUGGUGGAAUACUGUCCCCAGACAAAGUAUCAUCUAAAAGGAAAGCAAAAGGAAACUUGGGAAGAGUCAAUACAAUAGUUAAUAGGAAAAGGAUCUGUCUUGAUAAUGAUGAAAGAAAGAAUAAAUUCGUGGAAAAUCUGAAUAUACCUCUGGGAGAUCCUUUGCAGCCAACGAGGGUAAAGGACCCAGAAACACGAGAGAUUAUUCUUAUGGAUCUUGUAAGGCCACGAGAUACAUACCAAUUUUGUGUUGAACAUGGUGAGUUGAAAGUAUAUAAAACAUUGGAUACACCAUUUUUUUCUACUGGAAAAUUGAUAUUAGGACCACAUCAAGAAAAGGGAAAGCAGCAUGUAGGCCUAGACACAUUGGCUACUACAAAAAGAAAAAAUUCAUCACUGUCGGAGAAUUCUAGGAAGCCAACUCACUUUGACAAAUAUGAUUUUUUAUGUUAACUUUGGUGACCUUUUAUGUACCUUACACGAAACACCUUAUGUAAUAACAACUGGGGAUUCAUUCUACGUUCCUUCAGGUAAUUAUUACAACAUCAGAAAUCUCCUGAAUGAGGAAAGUGUUCUUCUUUUUACGCAGAUAAAAAGUUGAAAGAUGAAGCAAAGUUUAAAUAUGUGUGUAUAUAUAUAUUUACAUACAUACAUAUAAAACACAUUGUGUAGUGAGAUGUUGUAAUUAUUUGUAAUGUUUUAAAAUAUUCAGUGUUGUGUACUUGUUUCAAUAAACAUUUCAAACUUCCA
This is an RNA transcript of Lagenorhynchus albirostris (white-beaked dolphin), 3280 nucleotides long. It is a transcript of the gene named centromere protein C, with no coding region annotated. Lineage: Eukaryota; Metazoa; Chordata; Mammalia; Artiodactyla; Delphinidae. The record is from RefSeq and is a predicted model, not a curated record. The transcript is spliced from 20 exons.